Molecule: non-coding RNA, 574 nt
Organism: Marmota flaviventris (yellow-bellied marmot)
Lineage: Eukaryota; Metazoa; Chordata; Mammalia; Rodentia; Sciuridae
Source: RefSeq, a predicted model, not a curated record
AUGGAGAAUGGGAGCAGCCUGUCUGAUGAGGACCUGCGUGCCGAGGUGGACACCUUCAUGUUUGAGGGCCAUGACACCACAGCCAGUGGUAUCUCCUGGAUCUUCUAUGCUCUGGCCACACACCCUGAGCAUCAGAAGAAGUGCAGGGAGGAGGUCCAGAGCCUCCUGGGGGAUGGAGACUCCAUCACCUGUGACUACCUGGACCAGAUGCCCUACACCACCAUGUGCAUCAAAGAGGCCCUGAGGAUCCAUCCAUCAGUACCAGCUCUGAGCAGAGAACUCAGCAAAACCUGUCACCUUCCCUGGUGAGUGUUCCUUACCCAAAAAUAUGCCAGUCACACUCUUCACUUACACCCUUCACCACAACCCAAAGGUAUGGCCAAAGCCAGAGAUAAGAGGACCCUGGGAAGAAGGAGUGUCUGUAGCACUGAGUCACGGCAGUUUGGUGGCAAGACGCAAUCAGCCAGAAACUGCAUACGGGGAGCCUGAAUUCACCCGCUCUGGGCUCGGUGUGGGCUCUGAGGGGCACAAACUGCUCACCUUAGGUCCACCUCAGCCCAGCAUUACCAAGUGA